AACACGUGUGUUAAGGAGAGCUGCGGAGGGUGGUGUUGCUGAAAUGUUUGAUUGUGGCUUCAGGAUCAGACUGAAAUGUGUGAGUUUGAGUUGGACACGUGGCUGGACGUGAAGAUCCACAUGAACAUCAAGGUUUAUAUUGACCCAGUUUAAAUCUUCAUGGUUUCCACUGAACCAGAGAUGCUUGAAGGUCUCGAGUCCUGAUGUACUGGUCAUGAGGUUUUUGUAAGAUGGGAAAAUCAAGUCCAAGUGUAUUGGGAUUUUUGGGAAACUUGCAGCAUUCAGAAUGUGGAUUUGCAAGCUGCUGCUGUUCAUGAACCUACUUUUGAACCAUUUGGUUCUGGCUUUGUUCCCAGCUUCCCAACUGGAACCAAAUGAUAUUAGGUUUUAAGCAUGAACCCUGACAUAAAAGGGUGUCAACUUUGAGAGGAAAGAGAAUAAUAGAACAAUACCUGUAGUUGAUCUGUCAAGUCAACUUUAUUUAUAUAGCGCUUUUUACAAUAUACAUUGUCUCAAAGCAACUUUACAAAAUCCAGGACCAACAGAUACAAAAAAAUCUGUGUGCUCUGCCAUCUCGUUACUCCUGUUUACUUUAGUUAUGUGUUGUGCAGAGACCUCCGUUGAUGACACAUCCUUGGUUCCAAUAAGGACUGGUGCAAAUUUCUGUCGGUUCUCUGAAUAGCACCAAUGUUCUAAUAAGCCAGAAUGGAACCAAUUCAAGAUCCAGAGUUAUUUUGCCUGCAAAGGGCUGUGUAUGUUAUCAUCUUUGUGUCUUAUUUAAAAUGCUCUACUAAUAAAGUCAUCAUUUGAUGAA
Long non-coding RNA from Trichomycterus rosablanca, 814 nucleotides. RefSeq lists it as uncharacterized. Lineage: Eukaryota; Metazoa; Chordata; Actinopteri; Siluriformes; Trichomycteridae. The record is from RefSeq and is a predicted model, not a curated record. The transcript has 5 exons.